AUUGAACGCUGGCGGAAUGCUUUACACAUGCAAGUCGAACGGCAGCACGGACUUCGGUCUGGUGGCGAGUGGCGAACGGGUGAGUACUGUAUCGGAACGUGCCCAGUCGUGGGGGAUAACGUAGUGAAAAUUACGCUAAUACCGCAUACGAUCUAUGGAUGAAAGCGGGGGAUCGCAAGACCUCGCGCGAUUGGAGCGGCCGAUAUCAGAUUAGGUAGUUGGUGGGGGAAAGGACCACCAAGCCAACGAUCUGUAGCUGGUCUGAGAGGACGACCAGCCACACUGGAACUGAGACACGGUCCAGACUCCUACGGGAGGCAGCAGUGGGGAAUUUUGGACAAUGGGCGAAAGCCUGAUCCAGCCAUUCCGCGUGCAGGAUGAAGGCCCUCGGGUUGUAAACUGCUUUUGUACAGAACGAAAAGGUUUCUACUAAUACUAGGAGCUCAUGACGGUACUGUAAGAAUAAGCACCGGCCAACUACGUGCCAGCCGCCGCCGUAA
RNAcentral lists this ribosomal RNA (500 nucleotides) under uncultured bacterium. Its description in RNAcentral is "partial 16S ribosomal RNA". It matches the Rfam family "Bacterial small subunit ribosomal RNA", at positions 30 to 523 of the family's 1533-position model. The record is from RNAcentral.